UUUGAAAUAAAAUUAUUUUAUUUAUUUAUUUUAUUUUCUUAACUUCCUUGCUUGUUUCAUUUUAUCGGUGAGAUUUGGGUAGCUUUAGAAAGGGCGUAUAGGAUAGAUUAUUUCUUUCUAUAUGCAUUGUAAUUAAUUCUUUUGUCUUUUAUUAUUGUAUGAAGUGAUUAUGCAAGUUAUUUAAUUGUGUAUGUUUUAUCUAAUGUUGCAAACUUGAGUGAUCACUUAGUAUCAUGUUUAAGGUUUAAAGCACGUAAUAUGGAACUAUAUGUGAUGAUUUGUGCUAUAUGAUAUGUGUAAAUUAACUUUACGCGAAGCAUGUAAUUAUGUGAUUAUUAUAAUGUGUUUAUUUAAUUAUAUUAUUUACUUAAUGUUUGGAUUUUGGAAGGAAUAUAACCAAGGGAGUUAUUUUAUUUAAUUUUCGUGUGCGUAGGAAUGAUUAAAAUUAAAUAAUCAUUUCCUUUAAAAGUGAUUUAUUAGGGGCGAUUGUGUGGCCGUGUCCACCUUUCUACCUUAAUAUAUGUAUUUGAUGAUUAUGAAUGUGAUUUAUUGAACAAGUGAGUUCUCUCGUGUUGAUGUCGGCCUGAGAGUGUGUUACAUUUCUAGGCAGAGAAGGAGGAUGGCUAACAACGAUGCUUUAGAUGAUGCUAUUAGGCUUCUAGCUGAGAACUUGAACCAAAACCGCAAUGAUAAUCCCGAUCCUUCUGGUGAGAUGUUUAAGAAGCUUGCACAAGUCAAACCACCAUACUUUGAGGGAGGUGUAGACCGAACUUUUCUGGAGAAUUGGAUUAGGGAUUUUGAUAAGAUUUUUGCUGCUUUGAAUUGUCCUGUGAAUAUGAGAGUGGAUCAAGCUGCCAUGUAUUUGAAGGAAGAGGCAGAUAUUUGGUGGAGGGAUAAUGGAAACGUGAUUCGUGCUGAGGCUAAUUUUGGUUGGGAGACUUUCAAAACCAAACUUAGGGAGAAGUUCUAUCCACCAUUCUUAAGGAAGCAAAAGGCUCAAGAGUUUAUCAAUCUGCAAAUGAACAAUAUGUCGAUUACUGAGUACUAUAACAAGUUUAUGAACUUGUCGAGGUUUGCUCCUGAAGUAGUGCCUACUGAGGAGUUGAAAGCUCAAAGAUUUGAGCAAGGUUUGACUAAGCAGUUACAAAAGGACUUGGCUGGAAAGACUUUUAAGACUCUUGAUAAGGUGUAUGGGAGAGCAGCGCACCUCUACAGCUUUAAUGUCAGGAGUGCACCUGAGAGUGGGAGUGUUGGAGAAAAGCGUAAGGAUUUUGGGAAUUCGAGUGACCAAGGUAACUUUAAGAAGCCAAGGAACGAGAAUUUCCAGAAUAGGAAUGUUCAAAACAAUGGAGGAUCUUCUAGACCUAAUGGCCAAGUUGAAAGGCAUUACAACUGCAAGAGAUGUGGCAAGGUUCAUCCUGAAAAAGAUUGUGAUGGGAACUUGGUUGUGUGUAGGUUCUGUAACAAGAAAGGCCAUAGGGAGUUUGAGUGUUUCUCCAAACUGAAGCAACAAGGAAAUGGGAACAAGUUUACUCCAACAAGCAAUCAAGGAGAGAAUUCGAAUGGUUAUAAGGGGAAUGGAAAGAACGGAAAUGUUGGCAACAACUCCGUGAAUCAAGGAAAGAAUGUCACUACAGGUCGGUUGUCUGUGAUGAACAAGAAGGAAGCUGAAAGGUCUUCUGAUGUUGUCACUGGGUAGGUUGGAGCCUGUAAAAACAUAUGUUAAAAAGAACAAAAGAGGUUUAGGGGCAGAAAAGUGGAAAAAGAAGGCUUUGCAAUCAUCCACUACAACCACCUCUGGAGAGAAGGAGAAAACUGAGAAAAUGUCAAAAAAAGGAGAAAGCACUCUCUAAAAGGGUGCGGAAAAUGCUGGAUGAAGAAAAGCGCCGGCGAGAGAAUGAAGUUCGUCAAGCAUUCUUCAGAGAGUUUUGGCCAGAGAAUGUCUGACAUUGGGUCAUUAGGACAACUAAUUGCAUGCCCUUAAUUGUUGGCGAUACCAUGUACAGGUCUUCUUUCUUGCAACAGCGCUUGGAAGAUCUCUGGGAAACUUUGAAAAUAAUUGGGGAUCUUGCCUGCACUUGCACGCCGUAAAUAGCCUCACAACCCACACACCCACCUGCUGCACCCUAGAUUAGUACCAAGUACUUGUAUUUUGGGUACUCGUCUUAUGUUCGAUGCUGAUGUGACCUACAAAUAUUUGUACAAUUAUAGUAUUGAUAGCUAGGAUUAAUGAUUUAAUGAGGGUCAAUUGUUUGUAUAUAUGGGAAUUUUUUAUUCAUAUAUUCUAAAUUUUAAAUUAGAUGUUCU
Molecule: RNA transcript, 2307 nt
Organism: Chenopodium quinoa (quinoa)
Lineage: Eukaryota; Viridiplantae; Streptophyta; Magnoliopsida; Caryophyllales; Amaranthaceae
Exons: 3
Source: RefSeq, a predicted model, not a curated record